UCUAGUGCUCAAUUUUAGUAUAUAAUAACAUUGGAAUGAUACAGAGAUUAUUAAAAUGUCCCUGCACAAGGAUGGCUAGCAAAUUCACUAAGAAUUCCACACAAAA
This 106-nucleotide small nuclear RNA is filed under the name Castor canadensis (American beaver). The record is from RNAcentral. Lineage: Eukaryota; Metazoa; Chordata; Mammalia; Rodentia; Castoridae.